UGGGGAAUAUUGCACAAUGGGCGCAAGCCUGAUGCAGCCAUGCCGCGUGUAUGAAGAAGGCCUUCGGGUUGUAAAGUACUUUCAGCGAGGAGGAAGGCGGUAAGGUUAAUAACCUUAUCGAUUGACGUUACUCGCAGAAGAAGCACCGGCUAACUCCGUGCCAGCAGCCGCGGUAAUACGGCGGGUGCAAGCGUUAAUCGGAAUUACUGGGCGUAAAGCGCACGCAGGCGGUCUGUCAAGUCGGAUGUGAAAUCCCCGGGCUCAACCUGGGAACUGCAUUCGAAACUGGCAGGCUAGAGUCUUGUAGAGGGGGGUAGAAUUCCAGGUGUAGCGGUGAAAUGCGUAGAGAUCUGGAGGAAUACCGGUGGCGAAGGCGGCCCCCUGGACAAAGACUGACGCUCAGGUGCGAAAGCGUGGGGAGCAAACA
Molecule: ribosomal RNA, 427 nt
Filed under: uncultured bacterium
Lineage: Bacteria
Description: partial 16S ribosomal RNA
Rfam family: Bacterial small subunit ribosomal RNA
Source: RNAcentral